RNAcentral lists this non-coding RNA (183 nucleotides) under Verrucomicrobium sp. GAS474. RNAcentral's name for it is "6S / SsrS RNA". It matches the Rfam family "6S / SsrS RNA". Rfam says of the family: E. coli 6S RNA was the first non coding RNA to be sequenced, but its function was unknown until recently. It consists of 184 nucleotides that fold into an extended hairpin structure with a large single-stranded internal bulge. The 6S RNA specifically associates with RNA polymerase holoenzyme containing the sigma70 specificity factor. Lineage: Bacteria; Pseudomonadati; Verrucomicrobiota; Verrucomicrobiia; Verrucomicrobiales; Verrucomicrobiaceae. The record is from Rfam by way of RNAcentral.
UUUACCCUGCGGUGUUCGUGCUUGGGAUGCAUGUCCCUCCUCCGAUAAUCAUGAUUGUAAAGAAGCAACCGCGCGAUUGAUUCGACGUCGGGCCUUCACUGGAAGGCGGAAGCUCAAUGCAGCCGCUUCACCUGUACAUAAACUGGUCGAAGGACCCCAUCCACACGGCAUUGCGGGGUAAUU